UGGGGAAUUUUGCAGCAAUAGGCGAGAGCCUCCGGAGCAUUCCCGCGUAAGGGAGAAAGACCUGUCAGUUGUAAACCUCUUUUCUCAGGGAAGAAGAUCAGACGGUACCUGAGGAAUCAGCAUCGGCUAACUCCGUGCCAGCAGCCGCGGUAAGACGGAGGAUGCAAGCGUUAUCCGGAAUUAUUGGGCGUAAAGCGUCCGUAGGCGGUUUAUAAAGUCAGUUGUUAAAGCCCUCAGCUCAACUGUGUAUGGGCAAUGGAAGCUACUGGCCUAGAGAGUGGUAGGGCCGAGGGCCCUCCUAGUGUAGCGGUGAUAUGGGUAGAUAUUAGGAAGUUCCCCAGUGGCGAGGCGCGCGC
RNAcentral lists this ribosomal RNA (356 nucleotides) under uncultured Synechococcus sp. RNAcentral's name for it is "bacterial SSU rRNA". It matches the Rfam family "Bacterial small subunit ribosomal RNA", at positions 355 to 728 of the family's 1533-position model. The record is from RNAcentral. Lineage: Bacteria; Bacillati; Cyanobacteriota; Cyanophyceae; Synechococcales; Synechococcaceae.